This 64-nucleotide transfer RNA is filed under the name Actinomycetota bacterium. RNAcentral describes it as "tRNA-Ala". It matches the Rfam family "tRNA", at positions 9 to 71 of the family's 71-position model. Rfam says of the family: Transfer RNA (tRNA) molecules are approximately 80 nucleotides in length. The record is from RNAcentral. Lineage: Bacteria; Bacillati; Actinomycetota.
CCCGCGAAGGCAUCGGGCCGCCCUCGCAUGGCGGAGGUCACGAGUUCGAGUCUCGUCGGGUCCA